GUACGCUAUUCAGAGUUUGAUCCUGGCUCAGGACGAACGCUGGCGGCAUGCCUAACACAUGCAAGUCGAACGGGGCGAGGAAAGCUUGCUUUCCGAGCUAGUGGCGGACGGGUGAGUAAUGCGUGAGCAACCUGCCUCAAAGAGGGGGACAACAGUUGGAAACGACUGCUAAUACCGCAUGAUGUACGGAGAGGGCAUCCUCACCGUACCAAAGAUUUUAUCGCUUUGAGAUGGGCUCACGUCUGAUUAGCUAGUUGGUGAGGUAACGGCUCACCAAGGCUUCGAUCAGUAGCCGGACUGAGAGGUUGAACGGCCACAUUGGGACUGAGAUACGGCCCAG
Molecule: ribosomal RNA, 340 nt
Filed under: uncultured bacterium
Lineage: Bacteria
Description: bacterial SSU rRNA
Rfam family: Bacterial small subunit ribosomal RNA
Source: RNAcentral